UUGACAGCAACUUUCAGUCAUCGCACUACAGACGGUAGUGUGCCCUUUCAGAUCUUCAGCCCAGCACGCACACUGAAAGUCUGAGUGGACACAAUGAAAAGGCAGCCACUGCCAACUAUGAAGAAAGCCCUUAUCAGAAAGUGACCAUGCCAGCACCCUGAUCUUGGACUUCCAGCCUCCAGAACUCUUGUGGUUAUCGAAGGCAGCUCAGCUUACACCAGGAGUGCCAGCCUUCUCCAUGGACUCCCCCCCCUCCUCGAUAUCACACCACUCUCCUAAUUCCUCUGGCUUUUACACCCAAGCCUUCCUUCCACCUUCACAAAGAAAAAUCUACUGGCAAAAAAAGUCCAAAACCCCUGGUGAAAGUUUCAAUUAUCUAGAGGUGUACAUCUGAACCAACCAGAAGAUCCCCAUUUUUUCUACGGUAGGAAAUACGCAGCUGCUCGAGUACUACUAGACAUGACAUAUUCGACUUUCACCCACCCACCUUUGAACCUUCAAAAAACGUUUGCUAAAAAGAAUGUGUUUUUAAGUCCCCCCCCUUUUUGCACUCACUCCCUGAAGUAGGAGAAAUAUUAGGAAAUUUACUCUUCCACUCAACAGCUCUCACAUGAGCCUUCAAGAAGCUACGCUUAUGAGAGAAGCAUGAACCCAGCAGAGGAGAGCUCCGGAGGGGUCACCGUGUAUGACAGUCAACUUUAUAUAUUCACACUUCAGGCAUCUUAUUCAAACCAACUGCAGAAGCCUGAUUUGUUCUUUCGAAAACAUUACGCUGACUUCAAUUUAGACAUUUCUAUUUUGGUGCAGCUAGACUACACAGGAGUGUGUUCCUCUACCAUUUAGUAAUUUAGAUACUUUCAAUAUUAUUGCUAACUGACUCUUGAGGUAUAAGAGCCUUAAUUAUGUUGGUUUAAUAUUUUGUGCUUAAAUAUUGUUAUUUGUAAACUAACAGUGGGAAACACUACAACUUCCCCACGUUCCUUUCUUAUUUCACUGUUACAAUAAA
This is a long non-coding RNA of Neofelis nebulosa (Clouded leopard), 1006 nucleotides long. RefSeq lists it as uncharacterized. Lineage: Eukaryota; Metazoa; Chordata; Mammalia; Carnivora; Felidae. The record is from RefSeq and is a predicted model, not a curated record. The transcript has 4 exons.